This 492-nucleotide ribosomal RNA is filed under the name uncultured bacterium. Its description in RNAcentral is "partial 16S ribosomal RNA". It matches the Rfam family "Bacterial small subunit ribosomal RNA", at positions 29 to 507 of the family's 1533-position model. The record is from RNAcentral.
AGUGAACGCUGGCGGUAGGCCUAACACAUGCAAGUCGAACGGCAGCACAGUAAGAGCUUGCUCUUACGGGUGGCGAGUGGCGGACGGGUGAGGAAUACAUCGGAAUCUACUUUUUCGUGGGGGAUAACGUAGGUAAACUUACGCUAAUACCGCAUACGACCUACGGGUGAAAGCAGGGGAUCUUCGGACCUUGCGCGAUUGAAUGAGCCGAUGUCGGAUUAGCUGGUUGGCGGGGUAAAGGCCCACCAAGGCGACGAUCCGUAGCUGGUCUGAGAGGAUGGUCGGCCGCACUGGAACUGAGACACGGUCCAGACUCCUACGGGAGGCAGCAGUGGGGAAUAUUGGACAAUGGGCGCAAGCCUGAUCCAGCCAUACCGCGUGGGUGAAGAAGGCCUUCGGGUUGUAAAGCCCUUUUGUUGGGAAAGAAAAGCAGCAGGUUAAUACCCCGCUGUUCUGACGGUACCCAAAGAAUAAGCACCGGCUAACUUCGUG